ACUCAAAUGAAUAGACGGGGACUUGCACAAGCAGUGGAUUAUGUGGUUUAAUUCGAUGAUAAACGAAGAACCUUACCAAGGUUAGAAAUCCAGACGAAUCCUAGGAGAAACUCUAGGAGCCGCAAGGCGGCUGGACAGGUGAUGCAUGGCCGUCGUCAGUUCGUGGUUUGAAUUGUUCCCUUAAGUGGGGUAACGAACGCAACCCUCGUUGUCUGUUACAAGUGUCAGGCGAGACUGCCCCGUAUUUUGAGCACAAACAUUAUGGAAUGUUUGCGACCAGGAUACGGGGAGGAAGGUGAGGAUGACGCCAGGUCAGCAUGUCCCUUUGAUACCUUGGGCUACACACAUAAUACAAUCGCAGUUACAACAGGUCGCGACGGAGUAAUCCUGAGCUAAUCCUUAUAAAGACUGCGCCAGUUCGGAUUGGGGGCUGCAACUCGACCCCAUGAAGCCGGAAUUGCUAGUAAUCGCGGGUCAGCCAUACCGCGGUGAAUACGUUCUCAAGUCUUGUACACACCGCCCGU
Molecule: ribosomal RNA, 524 nt
Filed under: uncultured bacterium
Lineage: Bacteria
Description: partial 16S ribosomal RNA
Rfam family: Bacterial small subunit ribosomal RNA
Source: RNAcentral